RNAcentral lists this ribosomal RNA (406 nucleotides) under uncultured bacterium. RNAcentral describes it as "bacterial SSU rRNA". It matches the Rfam family "Bacterial small subunit ribosomal RNA", at positions 28 to 420 of the family's 1533-position model. The record is from RNAcentral.
AGCGAACGCUGGCGGCGUACUUAACACAUGCAAGUCGAACGGGGAUCGUCAGUGUAGCAAUACAUCGGCGGUUCUAGUGGCGCACGGGUGAGUAACACGUGGGUAACCUGCCCUUGAGUUCGGGAUACCCUUUCGAAAGGAAGGCUAAUACCGGAUACGUUCCUCGGAUUGCCAAAGCUGGGGAGGAAAGGUGGCGCAAGCUGCCGCUCUUGGAGGGGCUCGCGGCCUAUCAGCUAGNGGUGAGGUAACGGCUCACCAAGGCUAUGACGGGUAGCUGGUCUGAGAGGACGACCAGCCACACGGGAACUGAGACACGGUCCCGACUCCUACGGGAGGCAGCAGUGGGGAAUUUCCGCAAUGGGCGAAAGCCUGACGGAGUGACGCCGCGUGGGGACGAAGGCCUCGG